UACGGGAGGCAGCAGUGGGGAAUAUUGCACAAUGGGGGAACCCUGAUGCAGCAACGCCGCGUGGAGGAUGACACAUUUCGGUGCGUAAACUCCUUUUAUAUAGAAGAUAAUGACGGUACUAUAUGAAUAAGCGCCGGCUAACUCCGUGCCAGCAGCCGCGGUA
Molecule: ribosomal RNA, 163 nt
Filed under: uncultured Arcobacter sp.
Lineage: Bacteria; Pseudomonadati; Campylobacterota; Epsilonproteobacteria; Campylobacterales; Arcobacteraceae
Description: partial 16S ribosomal RNA
Rfam family: Bacterial small subunit ribosomal RNA
Source: RNAcentral